This 253-nucleotide ribosomal RNA is filed under the name uncultured bacterium. RNAcentral's name for it is "partial 16S ribosomal RNA". It matches the Rfam family "Bacterial small subunit ribosomal RNA", at positions 524 to 776 of the family's 1533-position model. The record is from RNAcentral.
UACGGAGGGAGCUAGCGUUGUUCGGAAUUACUGGGCGUAAAGCGCACGUAGGCGGCUUUGUAAGUUAGAGGUGAAAGCUCGGGGCUCAACUCCGGAACUGCCUUUAAGACUGCAUCGCUUGAAUCCAGGAGAGGUGAGUGGAAUUCCGAGUGUAGAGGUGAAAUUCGUAGAUAUUCGGAAGAACACCAGUGGCGAAGGCGGCUCACUGGACUGGUAUUGACGCUGAGGUGCGAAAGCGUGGGGAGCAAACAGG